UCAUUUGAAAUAGCUUGUAAAAGUAGAUUACAGCUUAUGAUAGCAAUUGGUCCAAUCUGGGAAAGAAAUCAGUUAAACAUGCCUAUUUGAAGAAGAAAUUGUCGGUACUAUAGUAUUCACGGUGGGGAUUGCAACUGCUUGAAUUGCAGGUAUAUAUAUCUUGGGCUAUUCGACAGUGAAGUAGAAGCUGCAAGGUCCUAGUGAUAUUGAAUUACCCUCUCUCUGAUAGUGAACUGUUACCUUAAAUUCUCAACUUCAAUCUGGUGUUAUCCAACCUGCAUUUCCCUUUUUGUUUUCUGUAAAUUAGGGCUUAUGAUAAGGCGGCAAUCAAAACUAAUGGUAGGGAGGCUGUUACCAACUUUGAGCCAAGUGCAUACGAAGGGGAAAUAAACUCUGAACCUCAGACAGAAGGUUUGCUCAAAUGCUCUUGCUCAUUUCCAAACUAAUGUCACUAAUUCCAAGCAACAGUGAAUUAUCUAUAUCCAACCUCUGAACCUCAGAAAGAAGGU
This 509-nucleotide long non-coding RNA is filed under the name Nicotiana benthamiana. Its description in RNAcentral is "long non-coding RNA (NBEN_LNC007245)". Lineage: Eukaryota; Viridiplantae; Streptophyta; Magnoliopsida; Solanales; Solanaceae. The record is from RNAcentral.